GGAUGACAUGCUAAACUGAGCGGAGGCGCCCUUGUACCCUGAAGGCGUCGGAGCGAGAUGGGAGGCUUCCCUGAGGCGCGCUUGGAAGGCCCGCGCGAGAAGGAAAGCGGCUGGAGCUGGGAGAAGGAUAAGCCCAACACAUUUUCUACACCUUGAAGUUGUCCUUGAACCCCCUUGGAAUAAGGCAGAAAAUGCUAUCAACUCCAGAACAACUGGCCUGCAUAAGAAAAUGAAAUAUAUGACAUAUUCAAUUCAGAUAUUAUUGAAGGAUGAAGAUUGUAAAUGCAAAGUUAAAGGCUGUACCCAGUGCUAAAGAGAGAAAGACAUAAUGCUACCUGAUCUGCAGUGGAACCAUUUAGGUGGGAACCAGUGGUGAAAUCCAAUUUUUUUUACUACCGGUUCUGUGGGUGUGGCUUGGUAGGCAUGGCAGGGGAAGGAUACUGCAAAAUCUUCAUUCCCACCCCAUUCCAGGGGAAGAAUACUGCAAAAUCCCCAUUCUCUCCCCACUCCUGGGGGAAGGAUAUUGCAAAAUCUCCAUUCCCACCCCAUACUGGUGCCAGCCAGAGGUGGUAUCUGCCAGUUCUCCAAACUACUCAAAAUUUCCGCUACCGGUUCUCCAGAACCUGUCAGAACUGCUGGAUUUCACCCCUGGUGGGAACUGAAUAGUUCCAAAAUAUGUUUUUGUUCCUGGAGCCCAGGUAUAAUAGCUUUAAUACAGAUGAGCCUCUGAAUAAUUGUCCAUUUAUUCAUUGAUAAGUAAAUCCCACUGAGUUUGAUCAAACUUAUUCUCAGAUAGAUAGAGAUAUACAGAAUUAGAAACCUUAGUUUCCAGUGUAGUAGUUUAGCUCAAAGUUCUCCAACUUUCCAACUUUGUGGAUUGUUGGGGGGGGGGAGAGGAUGGUUCCGAUUGGCAAGCCGCAUUCAUGCAAAUAGAGCGCACAUGCAUGCGCUUGCCUACUACUUGUGUACGUGGAGGUGCACACACACACACUCAUCCACUGUUUUCGUGGCCAGUUGCAAACAGCUUGCAACCCAGAGGUUGGGGAUCCCUGAUCUAGAUGACAACCUUAGCCCUUAAGUGUUUGGGGGGGAAAAUGCAUUUUUAGAACUACUCUAGAUUAGUAGUAUGGGGAUGUUGGAAGAUUAUGUUCUCUACCCUUCUCAGCAGUUUCUGACAGGAGAUGUUUGCAUGGUGUAAAUUCCAACUUCAUCUUUAAACUUCAUCUUUAUCAUCUUAUAAACCAAAUAGGUCUGGUAAAGUUUUUAGAUAAGUAAAAAGACAUGGCACCAGCCUAGCAUUUGGAAAUGGAUUCAAGUAAUCCCCAUGAAUUGUGGUUGACCUUGGUAAGGGCAGAAUUUUUAAAAAAACCCUGAACAUAAACAUGAAAAAUGUAUUACUUAGAUAAUAUUUACAAACUUUUAUUUUGAUCAAGGACUAUAACUUCCAAGUUUGAAUUCUAAUUCCUAACUUCCCAUUUGCUGUUAGUGUACUGUUACAUGGAACUGGAUGCAUCUGCAAAAGAGUAAUUAUCCAGCAGAGUCUAGAUCAGGGGUGUCAAACUCACGUCCUCAUGGCGAUGUCACAUGACAUAUCAUGACUCUUCUCCCCUUUGCCAAAUCAGGCGUGGACAUGGCCAGCGAGUGAUGCAUCGGGCCCACAGGCCGUGAGUUUGACAGCCCUGGUCUAGAUAGAAUGAAUACACCAAUGAAAGCAAAAUCUACAGGCAGUCCUCAACUUUCAACUGUUUGUUUAGUGACCAUUCAAAGUUACAAUGGCACUGAAAAAGUGACUUAUGACCAUUUCUCACAUGACUGUUGCAGCAUGGUCAUGUGAUCAAAAUUUGGGUACUUGGCAACUGACACGUGACAGAUGCAGUGUCCCAAGGUCAUGCCUUCACCUUUUGUGACCACCUGACAAGUCAAUGGGGAAGCCAGAUUCAGGUAAUAAUCAGGUUACUAACUUAACAGCAGUGAUUCACUUAACAACUGUGGAAACAAAGGUUGUAAAAUGGGGCAAAACUCAGUUAACUAUCUCGCUUAGCAACUGAAAUUUUGGGCUCAUGGUCAUAAGUCAAGGACUACAUGUACAUAUCUCCCUUUGGACAAAGGUCUUUGAGCUGUACUGUUUGAGUUGGAUAGGGAGUGUUUAACACUUGUUGCCGAACUAUUUAUAUA
Non-coding RNA from Pantherophis guttatus, 2175 nucleotides. NCBI's taxonomy places the organism in Eukaryota, Metazoa, Chordata, Lepidosauria, Squamata, Colubridae. The record is from RefSeq and is a predicted model, not a curated record.